CGCUGGCGGCGUGCCUAACACAUGCAAGUCGAACGAGAAAGUGGAGCAAUCCAUGAGUACAGUGGCGUACGGGUGAGUAACACGUGACUAACCUACCCUCGAGUGGGGAGUAACUUCGGGAAACCGAGGCUAAUACCGCAUAACAUCUACGGAUCAAAUGCGCAAGCAGCUUGAGGAGGGGGUCGCGGCUGAUUAGCUAGUUGGCGGGGUAACGGCCCACCAAGGCAAUGAUCAGUAGCCGGCCUGAGAGGGCGCACGGCCACACUGGAACUGAAACACGGUCCAGACUCCUACGGGAGGCAGCAGUGGGGAAUUUUGCGCAAUGGGGGAAACCCUGACGCAGCAACGCCGCGUGGAGGAUGAAGCCCCUUGGGGUGUAAACUCCUUUCGAUCGGGACGAUUAUGACGGUACCGGAUGAAGAAGCACCGGCUAACUCUGUGCCAGCAGCCGCGGUAAUACAGAGGGUGCAAGCGUUGUUCGGAAUUAUUGGGCGUAAAGGGUGCGUAGGCGGUGCGGUAAGUCUUCUGUGAAACCUCCGGGCUUAACUCGGAGCCUGCAGGGGAAACUGUCGUGCUGGAGUAUGGGAGAGGUGAGUGGAAUUCCCGGUGUAGCGGUGAAAUGCGUAAAUAUCGGGAGGAACACCUGUGGCGAAAGC
This 656-nucleotide ribosomal RNA is filed under the name uncultured bacterium. RNAcentral describes it as "bacterial SSU rRNA". It matches the Rfam family "Bacterial small subunit ribosomal RNA", at positions 34 to 722 of the family's 1533-position model. The record is from RNAcentral.